Oncorhynchus masou masou (cherry salmon) is the source of this 1080-nucleotide long non-coding RNA. RefSeq lists it as uncharacterized. Lineage: Eukaryota; Metazoa; Chordata; Actinopteri; Salmoniformes; Salmonidae. The transcript is spliced from 3 exons. The record is from RefSeq and is a predicted model, not a curated record.
AUGGCGGAUUUUCAGAAAACGGGGUCAGAGCUGCAGACCAUAAAGCAGUUAAAAUAAACCUGCAAAUGAAUAUAUACUGUAAUGAUCUAGAUUUGCAAAUAAGCCAUUAUCGCACAUUUUAAUAGGAUUUGUUUAUUUUUAAUUCGUUUAACUUUCUCCUGUUGGUGUUUAACGGCCUGUAUUUGUAGCUUUACAAAGAGAAGAGUGUCCAAAACGAAGCUCGGGUUUCCAGGACUAGAGGAGUGUCCAAAACGAACCUCUGGUUUCCCAGUGUGCAAGAAAGUGGAAGCAGCAGAAGGCCCUGAUAAGUACACAGGAUAAAUUGAGUCUGCCCCUCCACAAGCUCAUCACAGAAUCCCCGACAAGGUGGGGUUCUCACCUGCAGAUGAUGGAAAGAGUCCUUGAGCAGGAAAAGGCCAACCUACAAGUCCUGGCAGCAGACAAAAAAAAACACGGCACCUUGCACCCUCCUGACAAGACAUUGAGGUCUUUGAAUCUAUCACGGCAGCACUUAAGCCCCUCCAGAAGAGACAUACGUGAGUGUGUCCUAUCUGAAGCCUGUUCAAUAUGGAGGUUCUGAAAUUAAAUGAUGGCGAAGCCAACCUGACCGAGAGAUUAAGAUGAGGGUCCUCAAUUACCUGAAUGACAAAUACACCAACCCUGAAACAGAUGAGCUGCUCACCAAUAUCUACCUUUCUGGACUCAAGGUUCAAGACCACCUACAUGACCACUGAGAAGCUGGUGAAGGUGAGAGCUGCCUCCGAGACAGAAGCCGCCCUCGUAUGGGAACACAGCCGUGGGAGACUUCUCUCUUGAAGAGGACAAGCAUAACGCAACGGACAUAAAUCUUCCUAAAAAAUCUUCCUAUUCAUGAAAAUCACAAAUGAAAUAUAUUGGAACACAGCUUAGCCUUUUGUUAAUCACCCUGUCAUCUCAGAUUUUCAAAAUAUGCUUUACAGCCAAAGCUAAACAAGCAUUUGUGUAAGUUUAUCGAUAGCCUAGCAUAGCAUUAUGUCUUGCUAGCAGCAGGCAACCUUGUCACAGAAAAGCAAUCAUAUUAAAUCGUUUACCUUUGAUGAA